Pseudopipra pipra is the source of this 1518-nucleotide long non-coding RNA. RefSeq lists it as uncharacterized. The transcript is spliced from 3 exons. Lineage: Eukaryota; Metazoa; Chordata; Aves; Passeriformes; Pipridae. The record is from RefSeq and is a predicted model, not a curated record.
CUCUCUGGUGGGUUCCCUGCAUGCCCAACAGGGCCACAAUAGACUAUUAGCUUUGGGAGAUUAGGGUUUUAUUGGAAGUUUUUUGGUUUGGGAUUUUUUUUUUUUUUGUAAGAGAUGAAAAGCUCAAAUUUUCAAGAUCCCAGAAACUAGAAGCAACCCCACAAUGAUAAACAAAGGUUACAGCCACGCUGUCAUCAGUCUUCUAGUAUUAGCAAACAAUUUUGCCUAGUCUAGCUGAAACAAGUUUAUAUUUUUGAAGGUCCAUGGGCCUCCCUUGGGAUGACUCGGAGACCAGCACAGAUGUUCCCCAAGUCCCGCACAGUGACCGUGCCACUGCCACACCUAGACUACAGGCAUGUGCCUACAACAACAAGCUGAGACCCUUGCAAGGGUGAAAUAAGAACACAUCUCAGUAAACAUGCUGGAGAGAGGAAGCAGGAAAGUCCUGACAGGCGGAGUGUCACUGAUGGGGACAGUGCAGCAUCACCACUGGCGGAGGUUGCAGACCAACUCUCUGCUUUCUCCAGUCUUAAUCCCUUGCUCACCAGAAGGCUGAUUUCACUCCACCCUGACUGCCUUUUUGCCAUGAAAGCCAGCAAGGCAACCCAGCCAGGCGGGAAACGAAAGGAAGAGCUGUCACUAAGUCAUGGCUUGGUCAAAAAGCUGACUUGAAAGGGAAGGAAACUCCAUCGAUCACCAGGAAAAAAGAAAUGUUUCACAGUCUGCAACUCGCAUCUGAGAAAACCAAAGGGAACCUGAAAUACUUCGGUAAAGGGGCUCGCUGCAGCGCUGGGGCAGCUCCAGCCAGCCGGCACCCCUCCCUCUCCCUCUUGCUCCGGCUCAAGUUUCGGUAUCUGGUUGAGAUAAAGAUCUGCUUCUUUCUGAGUCACUGCUGGGACAAGCCCGCUGCCCGGGUAUGUCCAGCCUGCUUUGUUUAUAAACAUGAGUAAGAUCGCAAGUCACUCGGCAGUUUUCUAAUUCUGGCACUAGCCAAGAGAUCAGAUCCAAGCAAGGAGCUGGAUGUGAGACACAGAACUACUUGGGGACGGGAUGGGGACUUUAUCGUGUCUGAAGAUCUUCCCCUUUGCCGCAGAGCACUCCACAUUGGUGCUGCUCAGGGAGGAGGGGACGGAGGGCUUGCUUAUCUCCCACGCUGCAUAUCAGAAGGGACACCGCAGGGACAGAAGGACUUUUAACCUUCCCCCUUUCUCCAUUCCCAGCACGUGGAAUGUGACACUGCUAGAAUUAGAAAGGCCAGGAAGAGACACUAAAUCUGGAUGUCCUCAGAAGAUUUGCAUAUUUUAGUUCCUUUAGAGAUCAAAUUCCUGCAACUGGCUCAGCACUCUUACAUUAUGAUUUCCCCGUUUGGGGGCAGAAACUAGAUGAGGCAGUUGUGUAAGACGGGCCUUUGGGGGAGGUUUGUCACACUCAAAGACAAAAAUAAAUUUGUUAAUUUUUUUCCCCUGCAGACUCUGUCUCUUGCUGACUGGAUCACUUUGUACUUCCUCUAUAUUUAUC